RNAcentral lists this transfer RNA (85 nucleotides) under Streptomyces sp. Y2F8-2. RNAcentral's name for it is "tRNA-Arg". The record is from RNAcentral. Lineage: Bacteria; Bacillati; Actinomycetota; Actinomycetes; Kitasatosporales; Streptomycetaceae.
GGACUCGCUGGAGCGGGCGGGCCGGGUGCGGGCGCUGCUGCGGGCGGUGCGCGGGGCGUCGGCGUUCCGGAGGCUGUCGGGUCUG